UGCUGGCAUCAAGUAAGCCGACUACCUCGGCAAAGGCUUAGGGACAAGAGACCAGCAGCCUGAACUGGCUGGGGCAUCCGGAAGGCUUAGAUCUUGUGGCCAAGAGUUCAGACCGUGGCGAAGUGGAGAGUGACAUGCAGUUGGAUGGCGGUGACUGCGUGGUCCUGCAACCCUGGUUCCAGUCUGGCAAGCAUUGUAGACCUGGCUGCUGAAGACUGACGGGGCCCAGGGUCCGCUGCCCCCACCGCCAUCACCACCUCGGAACCCAGGGUAACGCUGUCAGUCUUUGUUCGUAGGCUUCAUGACAGGGCUGCAGAGCUUUGACAUCAAGUCGCUGACUCCUGGUGGCAAGGAUCAUCCCUUCUAAGAUGGAUACCCUGGGUUGCCCCCUUCCUAGGACCCCUGAUCUUCCUCUUCCUGUUACUAAUGAUUGGGCCAUGCAUAUUUAACCUUGUAUCCCGCUUCAUUUCCCAAAGGCUGAAUUGUUUUAUCCAGGCAAGCAUGCAAAAACACAUUGAUAAUAUAUUUCACCUUUGCCACGUCUAAUACCAGAGCCUACGAGGAAACCAUUCGGAAGCUCCAGAACCCAGGCCCUAAUCACAACGCCCCUAUCCAGCAGGAAGCAGCCAGAUGAUCAACGACGCCCUUUUUCCUUUUUAUACUAAAGUAAGAAAUAAGAAUGUUAGCCCAAACUGCACUAUUUUGCAGACCCCUACCAUUUUACAAACUGGUCAGAGUGGAAAAUUCCACCAGGGCCUGAGCUGUGAGAAACAUCCUGUCAGGCAGGUCCCAGGCCUAACCCCUGGCUGCACUAAAUUCCUUCAUUAUCAGCAGCCAAACACACCGCCCCCACCCCAUUUUCACAACAAUCCCAGACCUCUCCUGCCCGGGACUGUAACUGGUCCAGCCUGUAAGCGGGAAGGGGGCUCUGGCACUAGCUGGUACCCCCUCUCCGCAGGUCUUUCUCCCAAUAAAUCUGUGUUGCCAUU
RNAcentral lists this long non-coding RNA (989 nucleotides) under Homo sapiens (human). RNAcentral describes it as "HSALNT0407726". The record is from RNAcentral. Lineage: Eukaryota; Metazoa; Chordata; Mammalia; Primates; Hominidae.